ACUCCUACGGGAGGCAGCAGUAGGAAAUAUUGGUCAAUGGGCGAAAGCCUGAACCAGCCAUGCCGCGUGUCAGAUGAAGGUCCUCUGGAUUGUAAAUGACUUUUCUACGGGAAGAAUGAGCCGUCUGCGGACGGAAGUUGACGGUACCGUAGGAAUAAGCACCGGCUAACUACGUGCCAGCAGCCGCGGUAAUACGUAGGGGUGCAAGCGUUGUCCGGAUUUACUGGGGUUUAAAGGGUACGUAGGCGGUUGUGCCAAGUCUGGGGUGAAAGUUUGCAGCUCAACUGUAAAAUUGCCUUGGAUACUGGUCGGCUAGAGUAGUGGAGCGGUGGCUGGAAUUUAUAGUGUAGCGGUGAAAUGCUUAGAUACUAUGAGGAACACCAAUUGCGAAGGCAGGUCACUGGUCACUAACUGACGCUGAGGUACGAAAGUGUGGGGAUCAAACAGGAUUAGAUA
This 456-nucleotide ribosomal RNA is filed under the name uncultured bacterium. RNAcentral's name for it is "bacterial SSU rRNA". It matches the Rfam family "Bacterial small subunit ribosomal RNA", at positions 335 to 784 of the family's 1533-position model. The record is from RNAcentral.